AUACGGAGGGUGCAAGCGUUGUCCGGAUUUAUUGGGUUUAAAGGGUGCGUAGGCGGUUUGAUAAGUCAGUGGUGAAAUACUUCAGCUCAACUGGAGAGGUGCCAUUGAAACUGUCAGACUUGAGAAUAGAUGAGGCAGGCGGAAUUUAUGGUGUAGCGGUGAAAUGCAUAGAUACCAUAAAGAACACCGAUAGCGAAGGCAGCUUGCUAGACUAUAUCUGACGCUGAGGCACGAAAGCGUGGGGAGCGAACAGGAUUAGAAACCCCAGUAGUCC
Molecule: ribosomal RNA, 274 nt
Filed under: uncultured bacterium
Lineage: Bacteria
Description: partial 16S ribosomal RNA
Rfam family: Bacterial small subunit ribosomal RNA
Source: RNAcentral